This 531-nucleotide ribosomal RNA is filed under the name Serratia marcescens. Its description in RNAcentral is "bacterial SSU rRNA". It matches the Rfam family "Bacterial small subunit ribosomal RNA", at positions 1010 to 1533 of the family's 1533-position model. Lineage: Bacteria; Pseudomonadati; Pseudomonadota; Gammaproteobacteria; Enterobacterales; Yersiniaceae. The record is from RNAcentral.
UUUGGUGCCUUCGGGAACUCUGAGACAGGUGCUGCAUGGCUGUCGUCAGCUCGUGUUGUGAAAUGUUGGGUUAAGUCCCGCAACGAGCGCAACCCUUAUCCUUUGUUGCCAGCGGUUCGGCCGGGAACUCAAAGGAGACUGCCAGUGAUAAACUGGAGGAAGGUGGGGAUGACGUCAAGUCAUCAUGGCCCUUACGAGUAGGGCUACACACGUGCUACAAUGGCGUAUACAAAGAGAAGCGACCUCGCGAGAGCAAGCGGACCUCAUAAAGUACGUCGUAGUCCGGAUUGGAGUCUGCAACUCGACUCCAUGAAGUCGGAAUCGCUAGUAAUCGUAGAUCAGAAUGCUACGGUGAAUACGUUCCCGGGCCUUGUACACACCGCCCGUCACACCAUGGGAGUGGGUUGCAAAAGAAGUAGGUAGCUUAACCUUCGGGAGGGCGCUUACCACUUUGUGAUUCAUGACUGGGGUGAAGUCGUAACAAGGUAACCGUAGGGGAACCUGCGGUUGGAUCACCUCCUUACCUAAAGA